UGUUAAAAAAUUUCACCUCAUUGUACUGUUAAAAAUUAGCUUGGCAAUAAUCGGAUAACGACAUAGGACAUGUUACAUUUAUCUCGUGCUAACAUACAGGGAUCAGUUUUUUAAUGGAACAAAGGGAUAAAAUUUUUAACA
RNAcentral lists this microRNA precursor (141 nucleotides) under Gossypium hirsutum (cotton). Its description in RNAcentral is "MIR7502 microRNA precursor family". It matches the Rfam family "MIR7502 microRNA precursor family". Lineage: Eukaryota; Viridiplantae; Streptophyta; Magnoliopsida; Malvales; Malvaceae. The record is from Rfam by way of RNAcentral.